UACGAAGGGGGCUAGCGUUGUUCGGAUUUACUGGGCGUAAAGCGUGCGCAGGCGGCUUUGCAAGUCAGAUGUGAAAUCCCCGGGCUUAACCUGGGAACUGCAUUUGUGACUGCAUGGCUAGAGUGCGGCAGAGGGGGAUGGAAUUCCGCGUGUAGCAGUGAAAUGCGUAGAUAUGCGGAGGAACACCGAUGGCGAAGGCAAUCCCCUGGGCCUGCACUGACGCUCAUGCACGAAAGCGUGGGGAGCAAACAGG
Molecule: ribosomal RNA, 253 nt
Filed under: uncultured bacterium
Lineage: Bacteria
Description: partial 16S ribosomal RNA
Rfam family: Bacterial small subunit ribosomal RNA
Source: RNAcentral